Molecule: ribosomal RNA, 343 nt
Filed under: uncultured bacterium
Lineage: Bacteria
Description: partial 16S ribosomal RNA
Rfam family: Bacterial small subunit ribosomal RNA
Source: RNAcentral
CCUACGGGUGUCAGCAGUAGGGAAUAUUGCUCAAUGGGGGAAACCCUGAAGCAGCAACGCCGCGUGGAGGAUGAAGGUUUUCGGAUUGUAAACUCCUAUUGUUAGAGAAGAGAAUGACGGUAGCUAACGAAUAAGCACCGGCUAACUCCGUGCCAGCAGCCGCGGUAAUACGGAGGGUGCAAGCGUUACUCGGAACCACUGGGCGUAAAGAGCGCGUAGGCUGGAUAGCAAGUCAGAUGUGAAAUCCUAUGGCUUAACCAUAGAACUGCAUUUGAACCUGUUAUUCUAGAGUAUGGGAGAGGUAGGUGGAAUUCUUGGUGUAGGGGUCCACUCCGUAGCGAUC